UAGCAAUACAGAUGGCGCACGGCGCACGGGUGCGUAACACGUGGGUAAUCUGCCCUCCGAAGGGGAAUAACUCGCCGAAAGGCGAGCUAAUUCCGCAUAACAUUCCGAGAACCUUGGUUUUUGGAUUCAAAGGCGUAAGUCGUCGGAGGAGGAGCCCGCGCACGAUUAGCUAGUUGGUAGGGUAACGGCCUACCAAGGCUAUGAUCGUUAGCUGGUCUGAGAGGAUGGCCAGCCACACUGGAACUGAGACACGGUCCAGACUCCUACGGGAGGCAGCAGUGGGGAAUCUUGCACAAUGGGCGAAAGCCUGAUGCAGCGACGCCGCGUGGGGGAUGAAGCUUCUCGGAGUGUAAACCCCUUUCGACCCGGACGAAUGCCCCGCAAGGGGACUGACGGUACGGGUAUAAGAAGCCCCGGCUAACUACGUGCCAGCAGCCGCGGUAAGACGUAGGGGGCCAGCGUUGCUCGGAAUUACUGGGUGUAAAGGGUUCGUAGGCGGUGUGGCAAGUCGGGAGUGAAAUCUCUGGGCUCAACCCAGAGUCUGCUUCCGAAACUGCUGUGCUUGAGUGUGGGAGAGGCGCGUGGAAUUGCAGGUGUAGCGGUGAAAUGCGUAGAUAUCUGCAGGAACACCCGUGGCGAAAGCGGCGCGCUGGACCACUACUGACGCUGAGGAACGAAAGCUAGGGGAGCAAACAGGAUUAGAUACCCUGGUAGUCCUAGCCCUAAACGAUCAGGACUUGGGGUGCCACCCGUUCGGGUGUCGUCCCGGAGCUAACGCGUUAAGUCCUGCACCUGGGGAGUACGGUCGCAAGACUGAAACUCAAAGGAAUUGAC
Molecule: ribosomal RNA, 834 nt
Filed under: uncultured Pseudomonadota bacterium
Lineage: Bacteria; Pseudomonadati; Pseudomonadota
Description: bacterial SSU rRNA
Rfam family: Bacterial small subunit ribosomal RNA
Source: RNAcentral